RNAcentral lists this ribosomal RNA (492 nucleotides) under uncultured bacterium. Its description in RNAcentral is "partial 16S ribosomal RNA". It matches the Rfam family "Bacterial small subunit ribosomal RNA", at positions 29 to 507 of the family's 1533-position model. The record is from RNAcentral.
AGUGAACGCUGGCGGUAGGCCUAACACAUGCAAGUCGAACGGCAGCACAGUAAGAGCUUGCUCUUACGGGUGGCGAGUGGCGGACGGGUGAGGAAUACAUCGGAAUCUACUUUUUCGUGGGGGAUAACGUAGGGAAACUUACGCUAAUACCGCAUACGACCUACGGGUGAAAGCAGGGGAUCUUCGGACCUUGCGCGAUUGAAUGAGUCGAUGUCGGAUUAGCUAGUUGGCGGGGUAAAGGCCCACCAAGGCGACGAUCCGUAGCUGGUCUGAGAGGAUGAGCAGACCCACAGGGACUGAGACACGCUCCAGACUCCUACGGGAGGCAGCAGUGUGGAAUAUUGGACAAUGGGCGCAAGCCUGAUCCAGCCAUACCGCGUGGGUGAAGAAGGCCUUCGGGUUGUAAAGCCCUUUUGUUGUGAAAGAAAAGCAGCAGGUUAAUACCCCGCUGUUCUGACGGUACCCAAAGAAUAAGCACCGGCUAACUUCGUG